UACGUAGGGCGCGAGCGUUGUCCGGAAUUAUUGGGCGUAAAGAGCUCGUAGGCGGCCUGUUGCGUCCGCUGUGAAAUCCCAGGGCUCAACCCUGGGCGUGCAGUGGAUACGGGCAGGCUAGAGUGUGGUAGGGGAGACUGGAAUUCCUGGUGUAGCGGUGAAAUGCGCAGAUAUCAGGAGGAACACCGAUGGCGAAGGCAGGUCUCUGGGCCACUACUGACGCUGAGAAGCGAAAGCAUGGGGAGCGAACAGG
This 253-nucleotide ribosomal RNA is filed under the name uncultured bacterium. RNAcentral describes it as "partial 16S ribosomal RNA". It matches the Rfam family "Bacterial small subunit ribosomal RNA", at positions 524 to 776 of the family's 1533-position model. The record is from RNAcentral.